CUCCAUAGCGCCCCCUAAGGUGAAAAUUCACACUAUUGACUGUCACGCCUGUACGCUUUGUCAAAAUGACACAAAAAUUGACACACACAUGUAUCUCAAUAAGAUCUACAAAAAAGUCAGUGCGGGCGUAUCUGUCAAAUGUACGGUUAAAGGGUUAUUUCGCAUUUUUUGCCGAUCCGCACACAUUGGAAUUUCGCUAACUCCUCCGAAGGCUUUCGUUCCACCGGCACCACAUUUGCUCAGGCCAAUCUACACCCCAUGGCCAUUAAAAGUUAUUCAAAUCAUGACGCUGCACCCCACGGUUUAGGUUCUAGGGGGCGCCAAAGAUAACCCUAAAAUCCACAUUUUUAAAAGUCUUAUAACUUUUUAUUUUUGCCCUCACUGGCCUCCAAGUUUUCUAGGAUGAUGCAAUGUCCAGCCAUCAACACAUUUGUGAAGGAAUUUUUACUCCCCAAAAGAGCGCCCCCCCAUGGCAGGAGAAAAAAGUCAAUUUUUUUCUUGUCCCCUAAGGUGAAAAUACACAUUGUUGAGUGUCACGCCUGUACGCUUUGUCAAAAUGACACAAAAAUUGACACACACAUGUAUCUCAAUAAGAUCUACAAAAAAGUCCAUGCGCGCGUAUCUGUCUAAUGUACGGUUAAAGGGUUAUUCCGCAUUUUUUGCCGAUUCGCACACAUUGGAAUUUCGCUAACUCCUCCGAAGGCUUUCGUUCCACCGGCACCACAUUUGCUCAGGCCAAAUUACACCCCAUGGCCAUUAAAAGUUAUUCAAAUCAUGACGCUGCACCCCACGGUUUACGUUCUAGGGGGCGCCAAAGAUAACCCAAAAAUCCACAUUUUUAAAAGUCUUAUAACUUUUUAUUUUUGUCCUCACUGGCCUCCAAGUUUUCUAGGAUGAUGCAAUGUCCAGCCAUCAACACAUUUGUGAAGAAAUUUUUACUCCCCAAAAGAGCGCCCCCCCAUGGCAGGAGAAAAAAGUCCAUUUUUUCUUGUCCCCUAAGGUGAAAAUACACAUUGUUGACUGUCACGCCUGUACGCUUUGGCAAAAUGACACAAAAAUUGACAAUCAUGUGUAUCUCAAUUAGAUCUACGAAAAAGUCAAAGAGCGCGUAUCUGUAUAAUGUACGGUAAAAGGGCUAUUUUGCAUUUUUUGCCGAUUCGCACACAUUGGAAUUUCGCUAACUCCUCCUAAGGCUUUCGUCCCACUGACACCAAAUUUGCUCAGGCCAAUCUACACUCCAUGGCCAUUCAAAGUUGUAAAAAUCAUGACGCUGCACCCCACGGUUUACGUUUUAGGGGGCGCCAAAGAUGACCCAAAUAUACAUUACAGUAGACAAAGUAGUUUUGCCCACUGAGUGGCGCCAAAGGGACUUGUCUGUGGAGUCUGUGAGUCACUAUUGGCCGUUUUUGACUACUUUAGAUUUUACCUUUAUAUUUCCUCUUACAAAAUUUUUACCUUGCCUUGCCUGGUAUCAUUUUUUUCAGCACAACCUCACCUGUGUCAAUUUACAGUUAUUUUAUCAUUUUGACAUACUAUAUUUACACAUUGGACCCAAAUUCACACACAAAACAUAAAAUCCGAGUGGAAAAAAGUAACGUUUUUACUGUGAAAACCACAAAUAUGUGUGAUGAACUGUUUUUAAAACUUAAACUUCAAAUAAAAAUUGUAAACUUCAAAACAUAUGCAAAUUUUUAACAAAGAACAUAGUAAUUUACCUCUAUUUACAUCAAAAUGCAGGCAAUGGCCCAGGUGUUCUUUGUAAAAUUAUUUACAAAACACUGUAUAGUCCCACAAAUGUCACUUUUUAUUUAUGCCACUACCAAAAAACAUGAUGUAAAUGAUGCAUGAUGUAAAACAUGAUGUAAAAAACAUGUGUAGAUCCUCCUCUAUGUUAGUCCAUGUGUAAUUUUUCCAUAAUUCUUUGUUUUUUGCAGCAUUUUUGUUAGUGUAACUGCAGAUUGUGCUGACAGUGUCUAUGGCAAAAAAAAAAAAAAAAACUGAAAAUGCCUCAACAUGAACCCCUGGUGGUCUCUGAGGGUGAAACCUGCUAACUGCUGCAGCUCUGUCAGCUUCAGUCUCCCAUGCAGAGCUCGGAGCGCAUGUGUGGCUCUGCACCCUUAGCAGCGUUGCUAACUCCUCAGUAAGGAAAGCCUGCUUCAUGUCAGAGUCUCUAAACUCCAGAAGAAGUCGAUAAAAGUCACUUUCUUUCUAAAAAAAAGUCGUUAGGGGGUCUGAAAAGUCAUUGAAUCUAACAACAAAGUCGCUAGGUUUGCAACUACGUGUCCCAGACUGCAUCCCUGCUGAGAGUCCCUCCCUCCCUUCUCAUAUUGCAGGAAGAACGUAAGUUCCCGCCCCUUGUCAAUCAGUCACCAUAUAAUUUUGGAUUGGUUGUUGUGGUGAAGUUUUCCACCAAUAGGAGAGAUGUUGUGGUGUGUUUUUUUUUUUCCUUUGGCAAGCCUUUUCCGCCUGUAAGACCUGUCGCUAAUGUCUGCAUGCUAUGUUUUCCUGUCUCAUACAACGCGAUCGAGCGCCGAACGUGAUCAAAAUAAGCAGAAAACAAGUAUCGUGGACAUAAUUUAUCAUAACUCUGGUUUUAUUUGGCCUAUCAACACAAUUUAAAAACUGGUAUAUAGGUUGAGGUCCUCACUUUUGAGAUAAAUUGAAUCGGAGAGUCAACGAGGCUCCGUCUUGCAGCUACAUCCGGUUAAAUAUGUCAUGUGACUUGAACGCACACACACACACACACACACACACACACACACACACACACACACAGACACACACACACGCACACACACACACUCAGAGUCUGGUUUUUAGCACCUGCAAAAACAUGCUAGUUACAUAUUUGACAAGAAUGCAGAGGCUCCUUUUGCCCCUGAAAAAAAUCAAAUUUCAAACACAACUUGACUGGUCAUUUCUCCAAAAGACAACCAUGAAGCUCCAUCCAAACCUGAAGCGGGCAGUUGGUGCAUGUGUACAGUAACCUGAGGGGAGUGAGGUGACUGCUUCUGAGGAGAACAUGAGCAGUGAAGAUUCACCUUAGAGCUAGAACAGAGACGUGCACAUGAUUAUACAGGGGCAGGGGCUCAAGUUUUUUCCAGUUGUUUAUACAAUAUGGAAAUUAAUGUGAAAUUAAAAAACAAAGUAUUAAUAGAAAGGUAAUGACUGUCCUGUGUAGGUGACAGUGAUAUCCAAUAGGCUAGGCACUCACGAGGCUGGCUGUGGCAAGUGUAAGUGAAAGCAACACGCACUGGCAGGAAGAACAGCAAACGCCGAUGAAGGAAAAGGGUCUUUGCAGUGAUGGGCGUUACCAGAGAGGGCGAUGGCCAGAGGACACAAAUGGGACGGGGAGGCAGCGCGUUGGGGGGGGGACGCGACACAGCUCGGGCCCGCCAGUGCCCCAACGGGGUCCUAGUCUUUGUUUCUUUCUUUCUUUUUUCUUUUUCCUCCCCUUUGAACUGGAAAAUGGCCCACUUCCCACUGGCGAAAACUCAUGAAAUUUGGCAGGACGACCGGGCCUGGUGAAAAAUUCGAUAUUCUGAAGUCGCCAAAACAAUAAAAUGCAAAAUGGCUCCAUAGCGCCCCCUAAGGUGGAAAUUCACACUAUUGACUGUCACGCCUGUACGCUUUGUCAUAUUGACACAAAAAUUGACACACACAUGUAUCUCAAUAAGAUCUACAAAAAAGUCAGUGCGGCCGUAUCUGUCAAAAUUACGGUUAAAGGGUUAUUUCGCAUUUUUUGCCGAUCCGCACACAUUGGAAUUUCGCUAACUCCUCCGAAGGCUUUCGUUCCACCGGCACCACAUUUGCUCAGGCCAAUCUACACCCCGUGGCCAUUAAAAGUUAUCAAAAUCAUGACGCUGCACCCCAAGGUUUAGGUUCUAGGGGGCGCCAAAGAUAACACUAAAAUCCACAUAUUUAAAAGUCUUAUAACUUUUUAUUUUUGUCCUCACUGGCCUCCAAGUUUUCUAGGAUGAUGCAAUGUCCAGCCAUCAACACAUUUGUGAAGGAAUUUUUACUCCCCAAAAGAGCGCCCCCCCAUGGCAGGAGAAAAAAGUCCAUUUUUUCUUGUCCCCUAAGGUGAAAAUACACAUUGUUGAGUGUCACGCCUAUACGCUUUGUCAAAAUGACACAAAAAUUGACACACACAUGUAACUCAAUAAGAUCUACAAAAAAGUCCAUGCGCGCGUAUCUGUCAAAUGUACAGUUAAAGGGUUAUUCCGCAUUUUUUGCCGAUCCGCACACAUUGGAAUUUCGCUAACUCCUCCGAAGGCUUUCGUUCCACCGGCACCACAUUUGCUCAGGCCAAUCUACACCCCAUGGCCAUUAAAAGUUAUUCAAAUCAUGAUGCUGCACCCCAUGGUUUAGGUUCUAGGGGGCGCCAAAAAUAACCCAAAAAUCCACAUUCUUAAAUGUUUUAUAACUUUUUAUUUUUGUCCUCACUGGCCUCCAAGUUUUCUAGGAUGAUGCAAUGUCCAGCCAUCAACACAUUUGUGAAGGAAUUUUUACUCCCCAAAAGAGCGCCCCCCCAUGGUAGGAGAAAAAAGUCAAUUUUUUCUUGUCCCCUUACAUAAAAAUACACAUUGUUGAGUGUCACGCCUGAACGCUUUGUCAUAUUGACACAAAAAUUGACAAUCAUGUGUAUCUCAAUUAGAUCUACGAAAAAGUCAAAGAGCGCGUAUCUGUAUAAUGUACGGUUAAAGGGCUAUUUUGCAUUUUUUGCCGAUUCGCACACAUUGGAAUGUGGCUAUCUCCUCCUAAGGCUUUCGUCCCACCGAUACCAAAUUUGCUCAGGGCAAUCUACACCCCAUGCCCAUUCAAAGUUGUAAAAAUCAUGACGCUGCACCCCACGGUUUACGUUCUAGCGGGCGCCAAAGAUGACCCAAAAAUCCACAUUCUUAAAAGUCAUUUUGGCCACUGCAGGAGUACAGAGUACUGCAGUUCUAGGGGGCGCCAAAGAUGACCCAAAAAUCCACAUUCUUAAAAGUCUUUUUGGCCACUGCAGGAGUACAGAGUACUGCAGGAUACACACACAUAUACACACACGCCAACAUACACACACACACACACACACACACACACACACACACACACACACACACACUCAGAGUCUGUUUUUUAGCACCUGCAAAAACAUGCUGUUUACAUAUUUGACAAGAAUGCAGAGGCUUCCUUUUGCCCCUGAAAAAAAUCAAAUUUCAAACACAACUUGACUGUUCAUUUCUCCAAAAGACAACCAUGAAGCUCCAUUUCAAACCUGAAGCAGAUAGUUGGUGCAUGUGUACAGUAACCUGAGGGGAGUGAGGUGACUAUUUCUGAGGAGAACAUGAGCAGUGAAGAUUCACCUUGGAGCUAGAACAGGGACGUGCACAUGAUUAUACAGGGGCAGGGGCUCAAGUUUUUUCCAGUCAUUUAUACAAUAUGGAAAUUAAUGUGAAAUUAAACCACAAAUAUGUGUGAUGAACUGUUUUUAAAACUUAAACUUCAAAUAAAAAUUGUAAACUUCAAAACAUAUGCAAAUUUUUAACAAAGAACAUAGUAAUUUACCUCUAUUUACAUCAAAAUGCAGGCAAUGGCCCAGGCGUUCUUUGUAAAAUUAUUUACAAAACACUGUAUAGUCUCACAAAUGUCACUUUUUAUUUAUGCCACUACAAAAAAACAUGAUGUAAAUGAUGCAUGAUGUAAAACAUGAUGUAAAAAACUUGUGUAGAUCCUCCUCUAUGUCAGUCCAUGUGUAAUUUUUCCAUAAUUCUUUGUUUUUUGCAGCAUUUUUGUUAGUGUAACUGCAGAUUGUGCUGACAGUGUCUAUGGCAAAAAAAAAAAAAAAUUAAAAUGCCUCAACAUGAACCCCUGGUGGUCUCUGAGGGUGAAACCUGCUAACUGCUGCAGCUCUGUCAGCUUCAGUCUCCCAUGCAGAGCUCGGAGCGCAUGUGUGGCUCUGCACCCUUAGCAGCGUUGCUAACUCCUCAGUAAGGAAAGCCUGCUUCAUGUCAGAGUCUCUAAACUCCAGAAGAAGUCGAUAAAAGUCCCUUUCUUUCUAAAAAAAAGUCGUUAGGGGGUCUGAAAAGUCAUUGAAUCUAACAACAAAGUCGCUAGGUUUGCAACUACGUGUCCCAGACUGCAUCCCUGCUGAGAGUCCCUCCCUCCCUUCUCAUGUUGCAGGAAGAACGUAAGCGCCCGCCCCUUGUCAAUCAGUCACCAUAUAAUUUUGGAUUGGUUGUUGUGGUGAAGUUUUCCACCAAUAGGAGAGAUGUUGUGGUGUGUUUUUUUUUUCCUUUGGCAAGCCUUUUCCGCCUGUAAGACCUGUCGCUAAUGUCUGCAUGCUAUGUUUUCCUGUCUCAUACAGCGCGAUCGAGCGCCGAACGUGAUCAAAAUAAGCAGAAAAAAAGUAUCGCGGACAUAAUUUAUCAUAACUCUGGUUUUAUUUGGCCUAUCAACACAAUUUAAAAACUGGUAUAUAGGUUGAGGUCCUCACUUUUGAGAUAAGUUGAAACGGAGAGUCAACGAGGCUCCGUCUUGCAGCUACAUCCGGUUAAAUAUGUCAUGUGACUUGAACGCACACACAGACACACACACACGCACACACACACACACACACACACACACACACACACACACACACACACUCAGAGUCUGGUUUUUAGCACCUGCAAAAACAUGCUAUUUACAUAUUUGACAAGAAUGCAGAGGCUCCUUUUGCCCCUGAAAAAAAUCAAAUUUCAAACACAACUUGACUGGUCAUUUCUCCAAAAGACAACCAUGAAGCUCCAUCCAAACCUGAAGCAGGCAGUUGGUGCAUGUGUACAGUAACCUGAGGGGAGUGAGGUGAGUGCUUCUGAGGAGAACAUGAGCAGUGAAGAUUCACCUUGGAGCUAGAACAGAGACAUGCACAUGAUUAUACAGGGGCAGGGGCUCAAGUUUUUUCCAGUCGUUUAUACAAUAUGGAAAUUAAUGUGAAAUUAAAACACAAAGUAUUAAUAGAAAGGUAAUGACUGUCCUGUGUAGGUGACAGUGAUAUCCAAUAGGCUAGGCACUCACGAGGCUGGCUGUGGCAAGUGUAAGUGAAAGCAACACGCACUGGCAGGAAGAACAGCAAACGCCGAUGAAGGAAAAGGGUCUUUGCAGUGAUGGGCGUUACCAGAGAGGGCGAUGGCCAGAGGACACAAAUGGGACGGGGAGGCAGCACGUUGGGGGGGGGGGGGGGGACGCGACAUGGCUCGGGCCCGCCAGUGCCCCAACGGGGUCCUAGUUAGGGCCCGAGCGUAGCUGCUAAGCAGCUGCGAGAGCCCUCUUGUUCCUGUAGUUUCCUUCUUUUGUUAUUAUUAUUAUUAUUAUUAUUUUUCCUCCCCUUUGAACUGGAAAAUGGCCCACUUCCCACUGGCAAAAACUCAUGAAAUUUGGCAGGACGACCGGGCCUGGUGAAAAAUUUGAUAUUCCGAAGUCGCCCAAACAAGAAAAUGCAAAAUGGCUCCAUAGCGCCCCCUAAGGUGAAAAUUCACACUAUUCACUGUCACGCCUGUACGCUUUGUCAAAAUGACACAAAAAUUGACACACACAUGUAUCUCAAUAAGAUCUACAAAAAAGUCAGUGCGGGCGUAUCUGUCAAAUGUACGGUUAAAGGGUUAUUUUGCAUUUUUUGCCGAUCCGCACACAUUGGAAUUUCGCUAACUCCUCCGAAGGCUUUCGUUCCACCGGCACCACAUUUGCUCAGGCCAAUCUACACCCCAUGGCCAUUAAAAGUUAUUCAAAUCAUGACGCUGCACCCCACGGUUUAGGUUCUAGGGGGCGCCAAAGAUAACCGUAAAAUCCACAUAUUUAAAAGUCUUAUAACUUUUUAUUUUUGUCCCCACUGGCCUCCAAGUUUUCUAGGAUGAUGCAAUGUCCAGCCAUCAACACAUUUGUGAAGGAAUUUUUACUCCCCAAAAGAGCGCCCCCCCAUGGCAGGAGAAAAAAGUCCAUUUUUUCUUGUCCACUAAGGUGAAAAUACACAUUGUUGAGUGCUACGCCUGUAUGUUUUGUCGUAUUGACACAAAAUUUUACAUACACGUGUAUUUCAAUAAGAUCUUCGAAAAAGUCAAUGGCCACGUAUCUGUAAAAUGUACGGUUAAAGGGUUAUUUUGCAUUUUUUGCAGAUUCGCACACAUUGGAAUUUCGCUAACUCCUCCGAAGGCUUUUGUUCCACCGGCACCACAUUUGCUCAGGCCAAUCUACACCCCAUGGCCAUUAAAAGUUAUUCAAAUCAUGACGCUGCACCCCACGGUUUAGGUUCUAGGGGGCGCCAAAGAUAACCCUAAAAUCCACAUAUUUAAAAGUCUUAUAACUUUUUAUUUUUGUCCUCACUGGCCUCCAUGUUUUCUAGGAUGAUGCAAUGUCCAGCCAUCAACACAUUUGUGAAGGAAUUUUUACUCGCCAAAAGAGCGCCCCCCCAUGGCAGGAGAAUAAAGUCAAGUUUUUCCUGUUCAUCAUUCAAUGGCUCAAACGCACUGCUCUCUCGGCAAAAGCGAAAGGAGGAGCAACUUGCCAUUUGGAUAUAUCUUAGCUGUGUUUGUGCCCUCACUCAUGGUCCAGACUUUUUUCAAAUAGGACAUGGAGUUUUUCUGCAGCGAGCGCUUUGGUAGAAACUGCGCCUCCCGUUCAUUAUAAUGGUAAAUGACCACAAACAAGUGCGCACACCAUCUUUGGACCUUGAGUGUGACGCGAUCGGGUGGGGGAGGCGGUCGCGCUGGGGGCGGCGUGACACGGCUCGGGCCCGCCAGUGCCCCAACGGGGCCCUAGUUCUUUCUUUCUUUCUUCUUUUUCCUCCCCUUUGAACUGGAAAAUGGCCCACUUCCCACUGGCGAAAACUCAUGAAAUUUGGCAGGACGACCGGGCCUGGUGAAAAAUUCGAUAUUCUGAAGUCGCCCAAACAAUUAAAUGCAUAAUGGCUCCAUAGCGCCCCCUAAGGUGGAAAUUCACACUAUUGACUGUCACGCCUGUACGCUUUGUCAUAUUGACACAAAAAUUGACACACAUAUGUAUCUCAAUAAGAUCUACAAAAAAGUCAGUGCGGCCGUAUCUGUCAAAUGUACGGUUAAAGGGUUAUUUCGCAUUUUUUUCCGAUCCGCACACAUUGGAAUUUCGCUAACUCCUCCGAAGGCUUUCGUUCCACCGGCACCACAUUUGCUCAGGCCAAUCUACACCCCGUGGCCAUUAAAAGUUAUCAAAAUCAUGACGCUGCACCCCAAGGUUUAGGUUCUAGGGGGCGCCAAAGAUAACACUAAAAUCCACAUAUUUAAAAGUCUUAUAACUUUUUAUUUUUGUCCUCACUGGCCUCCAAGUUUUCUAGGAUGAUGCAAUGUCCAGCCAUCAACACAUUUGUGAAGGAAUUUUUACUCCCCAAAAGCGCGCCCCCCCAUGACAGGAGAAAAAAGUCCAUUUUUUCUUGUCCCCUAAGGUGAAAAUACAUAUUGUUGAGAUUCACGCCUAUACGCUUUGUCAUAUUGACACAAAAUUUGACAAUCACGUGCCUUGCCUGGUAUCAUUUUUUUUCAGCACAACCUCACCUGUGCGAAUUUACAGUUAUUUUAUCAUGUUGACAUACUGAAUUUACACAAUGGACCCAAAUUCACACACAAAACAUAAAAUCCGAGUGGAAAAAAGUAACAUUUUUACUGUGAAAACCACAAAUAUGUGUGAUGAACUGUUUUUAAAACUUAAACUUCAAAUAAAAAUUGUAAACUUCAAAACAUAUGCAAAUUUUUAACAAAGAACAUAGUGAUUUACCUCUAUUUACAUCAAAAUGCAGGCAAUGGCCCAGGCGUUCUUUGUAAAAUUAUUUACAAAACACUGUAUAGUCUCACAAAUGUCACGUUUUAUUUAUGCCACUACAAAAAAACAUGAUGUAAAUGAUGCAUGAUGUAAAACAUGAUGUAAAAAACUUGUGUAGAUCCUCCUCUAUGUCAGUCCAUGUGUAAUUUUUCCAUAAUUCUUUGUUUUUUGCAGCAUUUUUGUUAGUGUAACUGCAGAUUGUGCUGACAGUGUCUAUGGCACAAAAAAAAAAAAAAAAUUAAAAUGCCUCAACAUGAACCCCUGGUGGUCUCUGAGGGUGAAACCUGCUAACUGCUGCAGCUCUGUCAGCUUCAGUCUCCCAUGCAGAGCUCUGAGCGCAUGUGUGGCUCUGCACCCUUAGCAGCGUUGCUAACUCCUCAGUAAGGAAAGCCUGCUUCAUGUCAGAGUCUCUAAACUCCAGAAGAAGUCGAUAAAAGUCCCUUUCUUUCUAAAAAAAAGUCGUUAGGGGGUCUGAAAAGUCAUUGAAUCUAACAACAAAGUCGCUAGGUUUGCAACUACGUGUCCCAGACUGCAUCCCUGCUGAGAGUCCCUCCCUCCCUUCUCAUGUUGCAGGAAGAACGUAAGCGCCCGCCCCUUGUCAAUCAGUCACCAUAUAAUUUUGGAUUGGUUGUUGUGUUGAAGUUUUCCACCAAUAGGAGAGAUGUUGUGGUGUGUUUUUUUUUUUCUUUUGGCAAGCCUUUUCCGCCUGUAAGACCUGUCGCUAAUGUCUGCAUGCUAUGUUUUCCUGUCUCAUACAGCGCGAUCGAGCGCCGAACGUGAUCAAAAUAAGCAGAAAAAAAGUAUCGCGGACAUAAUUUAUCAUAACUCUGGUUUUAUUUGGCCUAUCAACACAAUUUAAAAACUGGUAUAUAGUUUGAGGUCCUCACUUUUGAGAUAAGUUGAAACGGAGAGUCAACGAGGCUCCGUCUUGCAGCUACAUCCGGUUAAAUAUGUCAUGUGACUUGAACGCACACACAGACACGCACACACGCACACACACACACACACACACACACACACACACACACACACACUCAGAGUCUGGUUUUUAGCACCUGCAAAAACAUGCUAUUUACAUAUUUGACAAGAAUGCAGAGGCUCCUUUUGCCCCUGAAAAAAAUCAAAUUUCAAACACAACUUGACUGGUCAUUUCUCCAAAAGACAACCAUGAAGCUCCAUCCAAACCUGAAGCAGGCAGUUGGUGCAUGUGUACAGUAACCUGAGGGGAGUGAGGUGAGUGCUUCUGAGGAGAACAUGAGCAGUGAAGAUUCACCUUGGAGCUAGAACAGAGACAUGCACAUGAUUAUACAGGGGCAGGGGCUCAAGUUUUUUCCAGUCGUUUAUACAAUAUGGAAAUUAAUGUGAAAUUAAAACACAAAGUAUUAAUAGAAAGGUAAUGACUGUCCUGUGUAGGUGACAGUGAUAUCCAAUAGGCUAGGCACUCACGAGGCUGGCUGUGGCAAGUGUAAGUGAAAGCAACACGCACUGGCAGGAAGAACAGCAAACGCCGAUGAAGGAAAAGGGUCUUUGCAGUGAUGGGCGUUACCAGAGAGGGCGAUGGCCAGAGGACACAAAUGGGACGGGGAGGCAGCACGUUGGGGGGGGGGGGGGGGGGACACGGCUCGGGCCCGCCAGUGCCCCAACGGGGUCCUAGUUAGGGCCCGAGCCAGCUGCAGAGCAGCCGGGCGUAGGCCCUAUUAUUCCCCAAGUGGUUUUUCUUUGUUUCUUUCUUUCUUUCUUUCUUUCUUUAGGGCCCGAGCGUAGCUGCUAAGCAGCUGCGAGAGCCCUCUUGUUCCUGUAGUUUCCUUCUUUUGUUAGGGCCCGAGCCAGCUGCAGAGCAGCCGGGCGUAGGCCCUAUUAUUCCCCAAGUGGUUUUUCUUUGUUUCUUUCUUUCUUUUUUCUUUUUCCUCCCCUUUGAACUGGAAAAUGGCCCACUUCCCACUGGCGAAAACUCAUGAAAUUUGGCAGGACGACCGGGCCUGGUGAAAAAUUUGAUAUUCUGAAGUCGCCAAAACAAUAAAAUGCAAAAUGGCUCCAUAGCGCCCCCUAAGGUGAAAAUUCACACUAUUCACUGUCACGACUGUACGCUUUGUCAAAAUGACACAAAAAUUGACACACAUAUGUAUCUCAAUAAGAUCUACAAAAAAGUCAGUGGGCCGUAUCUGUCAAAAUUACGGUUAAAGGGUUAUUACGCAUUUUUUGCCGAUCUGCACACAUUGGAAUUUCGCUAACUCCUCCGAAGGCUUUCGUUCCACCGGCACCACAUUUGCUCAGGCCAAUCUACACCCCAUGGCCAUUAAAAGUUAUCAAAAUCAUGACGCUGCACCCCAAGGUUUAGGUUCUAGGGGGCGCCAAAGAUAACACUAAAAUCCACAUAUUUAAAAGUCUUAUAACUUUUUAUUUUUGUCCUCACUGGCCUCCAAGUUUUCUAGGAUGAUGCAAUGUCCAGCCAUCAACACAUUUGUGAAGGAAUUUUUACUCCCCAAAAGAGCGCCCCCCCAUGGCAGGAGAAAAAAGUCCAUUUUUUCUUGUCCCCUAAGGUGAAAAUACACAUUGUUGAGUGUCACGCCUAUACGCUUUGUCAAAAUGACACAAAAAUUGACACACACAUGUAUCUCAAUAAGAUCUACGAAAAAGUCAAUGCGCGCGUAUCUGUCAAAUGUACGGUUAAAGGGUUAUUCCGCAUUUUUUGCCAAUCCGCACACAUUGGAAUGUGGCUAACUCCUCCUAAGGCUUUCGUUCCACCGGCACCACAUUUGCUCAGGCCAAUCUACACCCCAUGGCCAUUAAAAGUUAUUCAAAUCAUGACGCUGCACCCCACGGUUUAGGUUCUAGGGGGCGCCAAAGACAACCCUAAAAUCCACAUAUUUAAAAGUCUUAUAACUUUUUAUUUUUGUCCUCACUGGCCUCCAAGUUUUCUAGGAUGAUGCAAUGUCCAGCCAUCAACACAUUUGUGAAGGAAUUUUUACUCCCCAAAAGAGCGCCCCCCCCCAUGGCAGGAGAAAAAAGUCCAUUUUUUCUUGUCCCCUAAGGUGAAAAUACAUAUUGUUGAGAUUCACGCCUAUACGCUUUGUCAUAAUGACACAAAAUUUGACAAUCACGUGCCUUGCCUGGUAUCAUUUUUUUCAGCACAACCUCACCUGUGCGAAUUUACAGUUAUUUUAUCAUGUUGACAUACUGAAUUUACACAAUGGACCCAAAUUCACACACAAAACAUAAAAUCCGAGUGGAAAAAAGUAACAUUUUUACUGUGAAAACCACAAAUAUGUGUGAUGAACUGUUUUUAAAACUUAAACUUCAAAUAAAAAUUGUAAACUUCAAAACAUAUGCAAAUUUUUAACAAAGAACAUAGUGAUUUACCUCUAUUUACAUCAAAAUGCAGGCAAUGGCCCAGGCGUUCUUUGUAAAAUUAUUUACAAAACACUGUAUAGUCUCACAAAUGUCACUUUUUAUUUAUGCCACUACAAAAAAACAUGAUGUAAAUGAUGCAUGAUGUAAAACAUGAUGUAAAAAACUUGUGUAGAUCCUCCUCUAUGUCAGUCCAUGUGUAAUUUUUCCAUAAUUCUUUGUUUUUUGCAGCAUUUUUGUUAGUGUAACUGCAGAUUGUGCUGACAGUGUCUAUGGCACAAAAAAAAAAAAAAAAAUUAAAAUGCCUCAACAUGAACCCCUGGUGGUCUCUGAGGGUGAAACCUGCUAACUGCUGCAGCUCUGUCAGCUUCAGUCUCCCAUGCAGAGCUCUGAGCGCAUGUGUGGCUCUGCACCCUUAGCAGCGUUGCUAACUCCUCAGUAAGGAAAGCCUGCUUCAUGUCAGAGUCUCUAAACUCCAGAAGAAGUCGAUAAAAGUCCCUUUCUUUCUAAAAAAAAGUCGUUAGGGGGUCUGAAAAGUCAUUGAAUCUAACAACAAAGUCGCUAGGUUUGCAACUACGUGUCCCAGACUGCAUCCCUGCUGAGAGUCCCUCCCUCCCUUCUCAUGUUGCAGGAAGAACGUAAGCGCCCUCCCCUUGUCAAUCAGUCACCAUAUAAUUUUGGAUUGGUUGUUGUGGUGAAGUUUUCCACCAAUAGGAGAGAUGUUGUGGUGUGUUUUUUUUUUCUUUUGGCAAGCCUUUUCCGCCUGUAAGACCUGUCGCUAAUGUCUGCAUGCUAUGUUUUCCUGUCUCAUACAGCGCGAUCGAGCGCCGAACGUGAUCAAAAUAAGCAGAAAAAAAGUAUCGCGGACAUAAUUUAUCAUAACUCUGGUUUUAUUUGGCCUAUCAACACAAUUUAAAAACUGGUAUAUAGGUUGAGGUCCUCACUUUUGAGAUAAGUUGAAACGGAGAGUCAACGAGGCUCCGUCUUGCAGCUACAUCCGGUUAAAUAUGUCAUGUGACUUGAACGCACACACAGACACACACACACACGCACACACACACACACACACACACACACACACACACACACACACACACACACUCAGAGUCUGGUUUUUAGCACCUGCAAAAACAUGCUAUUUACAUAUUUGACAAGAAUGCAGAGGCUCCUUUUGCCCCUGAAAAAAAAAUCAAAUUUCAAACACAACUUGACUGGUCAUUUCUCCAAAAGACAACCAUGAAGCUCCAUCCAAACCUGAAGCAGGCAGUUGGUGCAUGUGUACAGUAACCUGAGGGGAGUGAGGUGAGUGCUUCUGAGGAGAACAUGAGCAGUGAAGAUUCACCUUGGAGCUAGAACAGAGACAUGCACAUGAUUAUACAGGGGCAGGGGCUCAAGUUUUUUCCAGUCGUUUAUACAAUAUGGAAAUUAAUGUGAAAUUAAAACACAAAGUAUUAAUAGAAAGGUAAUGACUGUCCUGUGUAGGUGACAGUGAUAUCGAAUAGGCUAGGCACUCACGAGGCUGGCUGUGGCAAGUGUAAGUGAAAGCAACACGCACUGGCAGGAAGAACAGCAAACGCCGAUGAAGGAAAAGGGUCUUUGCAGCGAUGGGCGUUACAAGAGAGGGCGAUGGCCAGAGGACACAAAUGGGACGGGGAGGCAGCACGUUGGGGGGGGGGGGGGGGGGGGGCGACACGGCUCGGGCCCGCCAGUGCCCCAACGGGGUCCUAGUUAUUAGGGCCCGAGCGUAGCUGCUAAGCAGCUGCGAGAGCCCUCUUGUUCCUGAUGGAUUCUUCUUUAGGGCCCGAGCCAGCUGCAGAGCAGCCGGGCGUAGGCCCUAUUAUUCCCCAAGUGGUUUUUCUUUGUUUCUUUCUUUCUUUUUUCUUUUUCCUCCCCUUUGAACUGGAAAAUGGCCCACUUCCCACUGGCGAAAACUCAUGAAAUUUGGCAGGACGACCGGGCCUGGUGAAAAAUUCGAUAUUCUGAAGUCGCCCAAACAAUAAAAUGCAAAAUGGCUCCAUAGCGCCCCCUAAGGUGGAAAUUCACACUAUUGACUGUCACGCCUGUACGCUUUGUCAUAUUGACACAAAAAUUGACACACAUAUGUAUCUCAAUAAGAUCUACAAAAAAGUCAGUGCGGCCGUAUCUGUCAAAAUUACGGUUAAAGGGUUAUUUCGCAUUUUUUGCCGAUCCGCACACAUUGGAAUUUCGCUAACUCCUCCGAAGGCUUUCGUUCCACCGGCACCACAUUUGCUCAGGCCAAUCUACACCCCGUGGCCAUUAAAAGUUAUCAAAAUCAUGACGCUGCACCCCAAGGUUUAGGUUCUAGGGGGCGCCAAAGAUAACACUAAAAUCCACAUAUUUAAAAGUCUUAUAACUUUUUAUUUUUGUCCUCACUGGCCUCCAAGUUUUCUAGGAUGAUGCAAUGUCCAGCCAUCAACACAUUUGUGAAGGAAUUUUUACUCCCCAAAAGAGCGCCCCCCCAUGGCAGGAGAAAAAAGUCCAUUUUUUCUUGUCCCCUAAGGUGAAAAUACACAUUGUUGAGUGUCACGCCUAUACGCUUUGUCAAAAUGACACAAAAAUUGACACACACAUGUAACUCAAUAAGAUCUACGAAAAAGUCAAUGCGCGCGUAUCUGUCAAAUGUACGGUUAAAGGGUUAUUUUGCAUUUUUUGCCGAUCCACACACAUUGGAAUUUCGCUAACUCCUCCGAAGGCUUUCGUUCCACCGGCACCACAUUUGCUCAGGCCAAUCUACACCCCGUGGCCAUUAAAAGUUAUCAAAAUCAUGACGCUGCACCCCACGGUUUAGGUUCUAGGGGGCGCCAAAGAUAACCCUAAAAUCCACAUAUUUAAAAGUCUUAUAACUUUUUAUUUUUGUCCUCACUGGCCUCCAAGUUUUCUAGGAUGAUGCAAUGUCCAGCCAUCAACACAUUUGUGAAGGAAUUUUUACUCCCCAAAAGAGCGCCCCCCCAUGGCAGGAGAAAAAAGUCCAUUUUUUCUUGUCCCCUAAGGUGAAAAUACAUAUUGUUGAGAUUCACGCCUAUACGCUUUGUCAUAUUGACACAAAAUUUGACAAUCACAUGUAUCUCAAUCAGAUCUACGAAAAAGUCUAUGCGCGCGUAUCUGUAAAAUGUACGGUUAAAGGGCUAUUUUGCAUUUUUUGCCGAUUCGCACACAUUGGAAUGUGGCUAACUCCUCCUAAGGCUUUCGUCCCACUGACACCAAAUUUGCUCAGGCCAAUCUACACCCCAUGGCCAUUCAAAGUUGUAAAAAUCAUGACGCUGCACCCCACGGUUUACGUUCUAGGGGGCGCCAAAGAUGACCCAAAUAUCCACAUUCUUAAAAGAAUCCACAUCCCCCCCCAUCCCCCAUCCCCCAUGGCAGGAGAAACAGUCAAGUUUUUCCUGCCCAUCACUCAAUGGCUCAUUCGCAUCACUCUCCCGGCAACACCGUAACGAGGAGCAACUUGCCGUUUGGAUAUAUCCUAGCUGUGUUUGUGCCCUCACUCAUGGUCCAGACUUUUUUCAAAUAGGACAUGUAGUUUGUCUGCAGCGAGUGUUUUGGUAGAAACUGCGCCUCCCAUUCAUUAUAAUGGGAAAUGACCACAGACAAGUGCGCACACCAUCUUUGGACCUUGAGUGUGACGCGAUCGGGAGGGGUAGGCGGUCGCGCUGGGGGCGGCGCAACGCGGCUCGGGCCCGACAGUGCCCCACCGGGGUCCUAGUUUGUUAUUAUUAGGGCCCGAGCGUAGCUGCUAAGCAGCUGCGAGAGCCCUAUUAUUCCCCAAGUGGUUUUUCUUUGUUUCUUUUUUCUUUUUCCUCCCCUUUGAACUGGAAAAUGGCCCACUUCCCACUGGCGAAAACUCAUGAAAUUUGGCAGGACGACCGGGCCUGGUGAAAAAUUUGAUAUUCUGAAGUCGCCCAAACAAUACAAUGCAAAAUGGCUCCAUAGCGCCCCCUAAGGUGAAAAAUUCACCUGACGCCUGUACGCUUUGUCAAAAUGACACAAAAAUUGACACACACAUGUAUCUCAAUAAGAUCUACAAAAAAGUCAGUGCGGGCGUAUCUGUCAAAUGUACGGUUAAAGGGUUAUUUCGCAUUUUUUGCCGAUCCGCACACAUUGGAAUUUCGCUAACUCCUCCGAAGGCUUUCGUUCCACCGGCACCACAUUUGCUCAGGCCAAUCUACACCCCAUGGCCAUUAAAAGUUAUUCAAAUCAUGACGCUGCACCCCACGGUUUAUGUUCUAGGGGGCGCCAAAGAUAACCCUAAAAUCCACAUAUUUCAAAGUCUUAUAACUUUUUAUUUUUGCCCUCACUGGCCUCCAAGUUUUCUAGGAUGAUGCAAUGUCCAGCCAUCAACACAUUUGUGAAGGAAUUUUUACUCCCCAAAAGAGCGCCCCCCCAUGGCAGGAGAAAAAAGUCCAUUUUUUCUUGUUCCAUAAGGUGAAAAUUCACACUAUUGACUGUCACGCCUGUACGCUUUGUCAAAAUUACACAAAAAUUGACACACACAUGUAUCUCAAUAAGAUCUACAAAAAAAGUCAGUGCGGGCGUAUCUGUCAAAUGUACGGUUAAAGGGUUAUUGCGCAUUUUUUGCCGAUCCGCACACAUUGGAAUUUCGCUAACUCCUCCGAAGGCUUUCGUUCAACCGGCACCACAUUUGCUCAGGCCAAUCUACACCCC
This 17841-nucleotide long non-coding RNA is filed under the name Xyrichtys novacula (pearly razorfish). The record is from RNAcentral. Lineage: Eukaryota; Metazoa; Chordata; Actinopteri; Labriformes; Labridae.